Molecule: transfer RNA, 72 nt
Filed under: Cavia porcellus (domestic guinea pig)
Lineage: Eukaryota; Metazoa; Chordata; Mammalia; Rodentia; Caviidae
Rfam family: tRNA
About the family: Transfer RNA (tRNA) molecules are approximately 80 nucleotides in length. Their secondary structure includes four short double-helical elements and three loops (D, anti-codon, and T loops). Further hydrogen bonds mediate the characteristic L-shaped molecular structure. tRNAs have two regions of fundamental functional importance: the anti-codon, which is responsible for specific mRNA codon recognition, and the 3' end, to which the tRNAs corresponding amino acid is attached (by aminoacyl-tRNA synthetases). tRNAs cope with the degeneracy of the genetic code in two manners: having more than one tRNA (with a specific anti-codon) for a particular amino acid; and 'wobble' base-pairing, i.e. permitting non-standard base-pairing at the 3rd anti-codon position.
Source: Rfam by way of RNAcentral
UGGGAUAUAGCUCAGUGGCAAAGCACCUGCCUGGCAAGCAUAAGGUCCUGAGUUUGUUUCCCAGUAUCCAAC